This 323-nucleotide ribosomal RNA is filed under the name uncultured bacterium. RNAcentral's name for it is "bacterial SSU rRNA". It matches the Rfam family "Bacterial small subunit ribosomal RNA", at positions 32 to 338 of the family's 1533-position model. The record is from RNAcentral.
AAUCAACGCUGGCGGCGUGCCUAACACAUGCAAGUCGAACGCGAAAGCCCCUUCGGGGGCAAGUAGAGUGGCGCCCGGGUGAGUAACACGUGGGUAAUCUACCUCCGGGUGGGGAAUAACUCGCCGAAAGGCGGGCUAAUACCGCAUAAUGCAGCGGCACCGAAUGGUGAUUAGUUGUUAAAGCGGGGGACCUUAGGGCCUCGCGUCUGGAGAGGAGCCUGCGGCAGAUUAGCUUGUGGUAGGAAUGGCCUACCAAGGCUGCGAUCUGUAGCUGGUCUGAGAGGACGGCCAGCCACACUGGCACUGACACACGGGCCAGACCU